UACGUAGGGGGCAAGCGUUGUCCGGAAUUAUUGGGCGUAAAGGGCGCGCAGGAGGCCUGUUAAGUCUGAUGUGAAAGACCGCGGCUCAACCGCGGGGUGGCAUCAGAAACUGGCAGGCUUGAGUGCAGGAGAGGAGAGUGGAAUUCCCGGUGUAGCGGUGGAAUGCGUAGAGAUCGGGAGGAACACCAGUGGCGAAGGCGGCUCUCUGGCCUGUUACUGACGCUGAGGCGCGAAAGCGUGGGGAGCGAACAGG
RNAcentral lists this ribosomal RNA (253 nucleotides) under uncultured bacterium. RNAcentral's name for it is "partial 16S ribosomal RNA". It matches the Rfam family "Bacterial small subunit ribosomal RNA", at positions 524 to 776 of the family's 1533-position model. The record is from RNAcentral.